AAGCUCCAGAGUUUUAAAGGUUUGAUUUGGGUAAGGUUACAUCUUUCUCUACCUAUUACUGGCCUAACUUAGGGCCCCAAACCCCUCCAAAGUUUCACUCUUGACCAUGAAAAGGCAUUCUUAUUCCAGCAAAUGUGUUCAUAUGGGGAGUUAUACCAGUAUAAUUGUAGUGGUAGGGAUAUGCCAGUGAAUUUCCCUGUGUAGAUAAGCCCAAAGAAGUCAGUAGCCCUAAGCAGGAGAGGAGAUAGUGAAAUUGUGAAUUAAUUUUUAACUUGCAGCUUUUCUGUGCCUUUAUAAGAAGCAGCCUUCAAAGGGAACACGUGCACUGGUAAAGCACAACACAACACACAGGGAAGCAGACGACCAUCAUGGUGUGCAUGCUCAAAAAAGUUCCUCCUCUUCCAUUUUGAAGGCACGAACCCUGACUGUCCAAGGGAUGGACCCCAACUGUCCCAUGCAACGAACCCUGACUCCGCAAUGAAUCCAGGACAGAACCAAUGAAAACUGGAAACGCUGGACCACAGGAACAGUGGAACAGGAUGCGACGAUCACCAGGUAAGUGGUUUGUCUCCUUUCUUCUG
RNAcentral lists this long non-coding RNA (581 nucleotides) under Chrysemys picta bellii (western painted turtle). RNAcentral's name for it is "lncRNA (ENSCPBG00000016602.1)". The record is from RNAcentral. Lineage: Eukaryota; Metazoa; Chordata; Testudines; Emydidae.